Hippoglossus stenolepis (Pacific halibut) is the source of this 623-nucleotide long non-coding RNA. RefSeq lists it as uncharacterized. Lineage: Eukaryota; Metazoa; Chordata; Actinopteri; Pleuronectiformes; Pleuronectidae. The record is from RefSeq and is a predicted model, not a curated record. The transcript has 2 exons.
GAUGUUUCAAACCAUUUAAACACAGUAUGAGUAAAAAUGAAAUGUAUGGAUUGGUCUCAUUGAAAUCAGCUGUUCCACUGCAACAUGAAUUUGAUCCCAAAAUAAUUGGCAAAGAUUAUACUUGUAGUGAUAUUAAUUUUGAACUUAAGUAGGGUUUAAAUGCAGUAUUUGUAAUUUUAUGAAACUGGUAUUGAUUCACAAGCAUCUCUAGAACUUUUUUCUAUGAAUGCUGGGUACUAAGUGUUUUUCUGGGGGCGGAGCAUAAUACUUGGCGGCCAUUUUAACAACUUACAUACAAUCAUAAAAAAUUUAACAGUACAUUCAUUAUGUCAAGAAAUUCUACAUGAAUACAAAGGACAGAAAUGGAAAAUAUCGGGAAGUUACGGUCACUUUCCAUGCGUAAUACGUAAUAACGUCAUUUGAGGGCGGCGCCUUUGCGCAGUACUCAGGACAAGGAUGCCAAGUUCCGACUGAUUCUCGUUGAGAGCAGGAUCCACAGGCUGGCCCGUUACUACAAGACCAAGAGUACUGGCCCCCAACUGGAAGUAUGAGUCCUCUACGGCCUCUGCUCUGGUGGCAUAAAGACACUUUUUUUGGGUUAAUAAAACCAUGUAAAUUGGAAA